Molecule: long non-coding RNA, 1831 nt
Organism: Gadus morhua (Atlantic cod)
Lineage: Eukaryota; Metazoa; Chordata; Actinopteri; Gadiformes; Gadidae
Source: Ensembl
GCCCAAUCUCAAUACUUCCCCUUACCCCUUAUCUUCCCCCUUACCCCUUAAGAUGUUUUUGAAGUGGAGGUUAGAGAGAUUGAUCUUUAUUCAGUUAGCGAGACUCUGUAACAAAAAGAGAGAUGAAUUGGAAAAGACAACUGCUCUGAAAAAAAUUAGAGAGGAGGAGGAAGAGGAUAGCAAUCUGAACCAAAGGAACAAGAUGUUUUUGAAGUGGAGGUUAGAGAGAUUGAUCUUUAUUCAGUUAGCGAGACUCUGUAACAAAAAGAGAGAUGAAUUGGAAAAGACAACUGCUCUGAAAAAAAAAAAUUAGAGAGCAAAUCAAACUGCUUGCCGACGAAAUUCGUUUGUUCAAGGAUGAAGCGACUCGGAACAAAGAGCAGAGGAAGUUCACAGACCUACACACGACGCUAGUCGGAGAAGGACUGAUAGCGGCCCGCCCCCUCGACUCAGGGCCCUCUGAGGGGAGUGACCAAGGCAAAGGAGGAGGAACCUUGGGAGCCUAUGGUUGCAUGUACCCGAAACUGCCAUUGUGUGGCCCAGAUGGGGAAUACAUCUUCCCUGGUGGUUUACAGGAGUCGAGACACAGUGAUCCGGUCAUCUGCAGUACCCCCCACGUGCCACGGAAGGGAAAUCCAUCUGCCCCACCUGACUAUGCUAAUCAUGAUGCGAUCCAGAUCCCACAACAACCCCCCGAGGAGACACGGACACUUGUUGAGUCCUUGGGAGGAGUCCUUGAACUGAACUGUGUCUGUGUUUGUCCUGACGCCCUACUACGAACUUUCAUCCUCAUCCCCCAUCACACCUGCGGUGGCCAUCAACUGGAAAAUAACUUUGUUGCAACUGCUACUCAAAACCAACUGAGUCAUGCAGUAUUGUCUGUGAUGUUGUUGUGCCAAGCAGAGGGAGGUGUCUCGACAGUUGACUUUCUUGAUUCUUUAAAAAUGUUUUAAUCAUGAGUAACCUAAUGAGUUUGUUAUUUUCUUUAUUAUAGUGGCCUACACCUGGUUUACUUGUGUAUGAUUUGAAUUUACUUGUCCUAUUGCCUUUUAUGCUUUCUUUCAUUGAUUUAGUUAAUUAUUAAUGGGUCACCAGAAAAUACACUGAAUUCUCUUUUUGUGGGUGAUCUUUAAACUAUGUUUAGUAUGAUCAAGAGGGAGGAAUGUAGAAUGUUGGUGUAUUUUAGUGUCUCUCUGUUGUUCACAUUUCUAGUCUAGGAACAGGCCAGGGCCUCUCAUACUGAUACAAGGUGUUAUCCUUAACAUUCUGCCAUUGUUAUGUCUCAACAAGGUUGAACCGACCUGGUCCUCCGGGACAUAGCCAGGGCCAAAUACCUUAUCAAGGCUGAGAGUGCGUCUGUUCACGUGUUAUUCAUGUUUCCCCUUUUUGUAUAAUACUCGCCCCAACCCUUUGGUUUGAGGAGAAGAGGGUUUCGACAGCCAAGGAACAAGUCAUCGACCACCAGGUCCACUAUAGAUUAUUCAACCUAAGUCUGUAUCUCGCUGUACAUCCUGGAAUAAACCAUCUAUUCAACCCUCUAAUCCAACCUGUCAAGCUGCUUUGAUUUCGACUUCAAGAAUUACUACUACGACUGAAAAUACACAACGCAGAGUCUGUCCGAACAGUUUAGAAAUAAGCUGAAAUCUAACACCCUUGAAGUUGCGCGUUCAUGUGAGAGCUAGUGGUGUCUCAAUACCCAAUUUGAUCAAGAUUAAGGGAUAAGAUUGAGUGCUAUGUACCCCUUAUUUUUAAGAUGAUUUGAGAGCUCACUUGGGCCGAAUCUCGAUUCUUCCCCUUGCCCCUUUUGCUUUGUCUUUGUCUUUGUCUUGGU